RNAcentral lists this small RNA (4139 nucleotides) under Arabidopsis thaliana (thale cress). Its description in RNAcentral is "ATSL154910". Lineage: Eukaryota; Viridiplantae; Streptophyta; Magnoliopsida; Brassicales; Brassicaceae. The record is from RNAcentral.
AUCGUAUGUCAUCCAAUGUUGUUUCUAUUGGAGUAUGCUACUUCAUUGGAAACAACAUGGUGGAUGCUACUUCAUUGGAAACAACAUGGUGUCUUGGAAGAGCAAGAAGCAGAACAACUUGGUCCUAUCAACCGCUGAAGCAGAACUCAGUGCUUUGAAAAGUUCGAGUGCUCAACUCAUACGGAUGAAACAACUCACCAAGGAGUGUGGUAUGAUUUCUGAUGUUCCGUUAAUACUUUGCAAUAAUCAUAGUGCUAUAAGUUGUUUCAAAGAACCUGUUAGAAAGUCUCGUACUAAGCACGUAGAUCAUCAACAUAGUUAUAUUCGCAAACUGGUUGAGGAGAAACGAAUAGCUAUUGAACAUGUGGGUACUAAAAACCAACUAGCUGAAAUGUUUGUCAAACCUCUGAAUUAUAGCAAAUUUCGUACUUUACUAAUGUUCAUUGAAAUGUUUGAUUUGUAAUCUAUUUGUGAGUUGUGCUGAUCUAGAACAGGGACACAAAGCGAGAACAGGUCAUGGAAAUCCAAAGAUGAAUAGAGGAUCAGCACUUUGUAAAGCCAUGUGGAAAAUAGUUGCCUGUCAUGCCGGGUCAAAUCCGACGUAAAAGAUUGUCAUCUAAUAGGAGGUCAAAGAGCUGAGAAGAUCAACCAACUGAAUGGACUUGAUACACACACACACAAAAAAAAAAAAAAUGUGUAUCAAGAUCACUUAGUUCGAAUAUCACUAAUUGAGAAGUCAAGUGAUAUUGCUGAUAUGACAAAAAGAAGGAGCAGUUCAAAAACACAUAUCAUCACGCUCCUGUUUGGUAAAGCUAUCUUCAAAAGAAAUUUCAGCUGCCUGUUACACGUUGUCCUGAUCGUUUAGAACUGAAGGUAUGACAGUGUGAAAGACUAGCCACUGAACAUUGAGCUAAUCUAUCAACAAUCUGAGUGGUUGUGACAGUUUCUUGCUAAGUUCUGAACAACCGAUAGGCACAAAGCACUGAACAGAGUACAAGGAAGAGGUAUGCUUUGAAAAUGUUUGGAUAGCUACUACUCGCAUGUAUCAAUUGUCUGUUUGGGUCACUAAACAGUUUCAGGAUAUGGCUGUUGAAAUCAUCUCAUCUCUGCUAAUUGCAAUCCUCUGCUAACUAAAAAAAUUUGAUUGAUGAGUUUCUUGGCAAUUGAGCGCUUAUGCGUUUGUUAAGUGUUUCAGAGUAAUACAAUUUUUAGGUCCAAGCCCAGUUCGAGUCUCAAAAGCCCAUAAGGAUUCAAGAAGUUUUUCUCGGGUAUUGGAGGGAAAAAGAGGAGUUAGGGUUGGAGGAGUCAAAUCAACUGUCUUUGAAAGUCGAGAAGGCAAACCCUUGUGCUCAAAGCAAAUCCAUCAGAACUCGAGUGAGAGAGAGCAUGAAAUCAAUUCUUCCGGGGCUGCAACAUCUUGUUCACCAGAAAUCUGAGUCCGAAUUGUCUGGAGAUCUACCAGAUUCACAGCCCAGCGACGCGAUGCCAGAGGUUCCACAGCCGAUUGAAUCGAAAUCUCAAGAGGUGAAGUCUGACGAAGAACUUUUGAUGCCUGAUUCCAAGUGGGCUAUGAUACUUGUCACAGGCCCGCCGCCACCGAUCAUCGAAAUUGAGGACGAGACUCAGUCGUCAACCAAUCAGGUUCAGAAGGCUGAACCAAAAUUUCCCGAGGCUGCACCUUCUCAACCCUCUGUUGCUUCAAGGAUGCGUAAGAGGAAGCAAUCCACCGCUGGAUAGGGUGGAAAGCGGAUGAAGCAAGAAAAGGGCAAGGGGAUCACCGCUUCAUCUACCUUCGAUGGAAUCCGAUUCGUCUCGAAUGAGGCUGAGAAGAUGUAUGCUCAUUUUUCCCGAAGAACUUCAUUGUAGAAGAUGGUUUGUCUAGGAAAAUGGAUGAGGCUGUUCGGAGUUUUAUUGAGAAGGCUGGAUUGAUUCGUACGGUGACUGAUUUGAAACCGUAUAAGGAGGAACUGGUGUUUGAAUUCUGGGCAAAUCUGCCUACAGUGAAGGUUGAUACCACCAAUGUUGGUGUUUUGGUGCGUAAUUGGGAGUAUGAGUUCUCCCCUGAGAAUAUUAAUGAGCUGUUUGGGUUGGCAUCUGUCGACGUGAGACAGCAACGAAUGGACAUGGUGGGGUUGAUGGAGGAUGAGGUCGCAAAGUUUCUGACUGAUGGCAAGGUCAAGUCUCUGAAGGGGUUGCUGGUGAGUGCUUUCUCUCCACCAGGCCGAAAGCUGUUCAAACUAUGUUGCACCAACUGGUCUCCAACAUCGAAUGAUGGUAUGCACAGCCUGACAGAGCCAAGCUGGUAUACAUGAUCAUGCACAACAUUCCAUUCGACUUUGGGAGGAUGGUGUUUGAUCACAUUCUUCAGUUGGCAAUAAAACCAGAAACUAAGCUCUUCCUGCUAUUUCCAAACCUGGUCUACCAGUUGAUACAGACGCAACGCCAUGUUCAGAUCCCAGUAAACCCACCCGCAUCAGCAGCGUCGACAAAGAAGAAGAAGGUGAAGCAGAGUGUAGUUGCAGGACGCAAAGACUCAGCCAACCGCAGGGCGAUGAAAAUUGCCAUCGAAAUUUUGCAGGCUGCUCUAGAUGCAGGUAAGUGUUCUGUGUGAUCUUCUUCACCUGAAUUGUAUAUCUCUGUUUGUAUACAUAAUGCUAAGUUAUGUGCUCAAGCAGGGGGAGAUAAGUCGGAUUCUUCGGCAACUGAUGAUGCUGGGGGAGAUUAAGUUGUGGGGGAGCCUAUUUUGAUUCCUUUUGAUUUCUUGUUUUAAGCUCGGUUAUAAUUCUGACCAAAACAAUGUUCUUUUUGUUUGUAAUAACAUUGUAUCAUCGUGAACAUGAGUCUCUAAUAAUUUUUUAACACAUUGUCAACUUUUAGACUAAUCGCAUUAUGUUGUUUAUGCUAGAAUGUUCUUCUAGAGUUUGUCUAUUGGUUGUGUGUUAUGUCUCCUGGUUGAGUUUCAGGUUAUAUCAAUGGAAGAAUGCUUGUGUAUCAAACUCAAUCAAAUAGGGGGAGAUUGAAGAUGCAGAAUUCAAUCAAUCAGCUGAUGGCGAUCAGAACACUGAUGGAUUUCAGGAAGAUGCAUCGAGUCUCAUCAGACGCUUGAGUUGCUGACAUGGAUGCAAGAGCAGACGUGGCAAGCUGAUGCGGCAAGCUGAGGCGGAUGAUGUGGAGAGCCAAGGAUGGAAGCUGACUUGGCAUGGUAUCAAAGACACGAUUCAACGAGAAGAUAUGGAAAAUAUCGUUUGGAAGAUUUAGAAAAGAAUAAACUUGAAAACAAGGAAAAUUCCUUAAAACGAGAUUCUCGAAGAUCCUAGGUUUAAGGUUCUGGAGAGUAGGUAUAAGUAUUCUAGAACUUAGCGUGAGGCGCUUUGAGCACUCUAGAAUACUGUCAUACGAUUGUAAACUUCAGAGCAUUGCAAAAGCUUGAAGGUGAGUGUGUAGUUUUCUUUGUCUUCACGUGAGAGUGAUAAGAAACAGAGAAGAGAAUUAGGCUUAGGUAUUCUUAGUUGGGUUUGAUCAUUUGGGUAGAAUAGAUCAAGUAAUAUUCGAGAUAACAAUUGUAAACAGUUUGUUAUCAAUAAGAAUAUAGUUUUCUAUUCCAUUUAAUACUAAUACGUUUUCUAUACUUAAAAUAAUAAUAUAUUUAUAAAAUAUUAAUACACACAACCACGUAAAUAUGAUUACUCAUAUGUAUGUAUCACCCAAAUAUACUCGACUUACCUCUAGACUAAGUAAUUAACCUAACAUAUAUUCAUAUACGAAAGAAAACACGAUCUCAUCCUCACGUUAGCCAAUCGGAUAGAUUUUUCGGGUUAAAAACUAGCAACAACGGAGACCGGUUGACAUAUUUCUCCAUCUACAACGGUUGCAUUACCUGACAAAGAUUAAUCCAGUAAUUAAUACCCAUCAUUAAUGUUUAUGAAUUAAUCUAAACCCAACCAUUUCAAACUCAGUAUAAUGACUAAACGAUGACUUGGUCUUUUUCUAAAUAAACUAAUAAGCUUUGUUUUAAGAAUUAAACCAAUCUCUUUUUUUCAAUCAUUAGAUUUUAUUUAGAGCUUAAAAGAACCAAUUCUAAAAAAAAUUAUUUACAAAAGUGAUAUGAAUGGUUCGGUACGAAUUUUUCGCCCUAAACU